RNAcentral lists this ribosomal RNA (334 nucleotides) under Halostreptopolyspora alba. RNAcentral's name for it is "bacterial LSU rRNA". It matches the Rfam family "Bacterial large subunit ribosomal RNA", at positions 1830 to 2155 of the family's 2925-position model. The record is from RNAcentral. Lineage: Bacteria; Bacillati; Actinomycetota; Actinomycetes; Streptosporangiales; Nocardiopsidaceae.
GUCGUAAGACGCGGUAUACGGACUGACGCCUGCCCGGUGCCGGAACGUUACGAGGACCGGUUAGGUGGGUUUGUCCUGCUGAAGCUGGGAAUCUAAGCGCCGGUAAACGGCGGUGGUAACUAUAACCAUCCUAAGGUAGCGAAAUUCCUUGUCGGGUAAGUUCCGACCUGCACGAAUGGCGUAACGACUUGGGCGCUGUCUCAACCACGGGCCCGGCGAAAUUGCACUGUGAGUAAAGAUGCUCGCUACGCGCGGUAGGACGGAAAGACCCCGGGACCUUCACUGCAGCUUGGUAUUGCCGUCUGGUGCGGUUUGUGUAGGAUAAGUGGGAGGC